GAUGAAGAACGUAGUGAAAUGCGAUAAGUAGUGUGAAUUGCAGAAUUCAGUGAAUCAUCGAAUCUUUGAACGCACAUUGCGCCCUUUGGUAUUCCAAAGGGCAUGCCUGUUCGAGCGUCAUUUGUACCCUCAAGCUUUGCUUGGUGUUGGGCGUCUUGUCUCUAGCUUUGCUGGAGACUCGCCUUAAAGUAAUUGGCAGCCGGCCUACUGGUUUCGGAGCGCAGCACAAGUCGCACUCUCUAUCAGCAAAGGUCUAGCAUCCAUUAAGCCUUUUUUUCAACUUUUGACCUCGGAUCAGGUAGGGAUACCCGCUGAACUUAAGCAUAUCAAUAAGCGGAGGGA
Molecule: unclassified non-coding RNA, 342 nt
Filed under: soil metagenome
Description: partial contains 5.8S ribosomal RNA, internal transcribed spacer 2, and large subunit ribosomal RNA
Rfam family: 5.8S ribosomal RNA (bases 1-120)
Source: RNAcentral